This 2800-nucleotide long non-coding RNA is filed under the name Taeniopygia guttata (zebra finch). RNAcentral's name for it is "lncRNA (ENSTGUG00000019148.1)". Lineage: Eukaryota; Metazoa; Chordata; Aves; Passeriformes; Estrildidae. The record is from RNAcentral.
UCAUCUCAAGGUAGUUUAUAACUACCCUGAGCCUUUAUUCUUCCAUAAAUCAAGACAUUCCAAAAUGCAGAAGAAAGAGCAACUAGGAAAGUGAAAGUAUUAAAACACAGAAUGAUUUUGACAUUAAUUGUGAAAGGCAAGAAGUCAAUUCCAGGCCUGUCAAAAAAUGACACCAGCACUGGCCUUCUACUGCAGGAAAAUUGUGGAAACCACUGCACAGAGUAACAUUACACACAUUUUGCUGAUUCCCCUUUUGUCUGUUCUUCACCUUGGUCAGACCAGAAAGAACAUAUUUCAAAGUAAAGAUGGCACACAACAUGUAAUUGGGAUACUCCUAUAUCGCAUAGAUUUCAUUAAAACAUAUUCAGCAAAGAUUUCCUGCAAGGAUUGUGCAGGUGAAGGCUGAGAUAUCUCAUCUGUAUUGAGCAAAGAGACAUUUGUGAGCAGUUUCUUAAAGCUGGAUACAAACAGGAGUACAGUAGAACCCAAACCUUUACAACAAUCUGUCAAAUUUAAUUUCAAAAUACAAGGAAAUCUCAAGUGUUGAACCCAAUCAUCUUGCCCACAUUUAGAUUUAGGAAGCACAAAGGGCAAAUGCAGAUCUCAUCUCACCGUCUUUCUGCAAGUCUCUGGAUCAUAAUCUCCGGCCAAUGCUGUCAUAAAAUAGAAUGGUGAUGACUUGUCCAGAAAUUAUAUAGACAGCAAUGCAAUUAAUUUGGUGUUAUAUGUGUCUAGAGUAUUUAGCCACUACUUCUCUGGGCCAGGAAGAUGUUGUUAAGUGUAAAAAGCAGUGUAGAACACAGUGGGCAAUACACCUUUCAAAGAAAGAGCACUACCCCUUCCAUUACCUCUUCAGUAGCUGCUUCUCCUGAUAAAUGUUUUCUUUUCCCUUGGUAAAGAACUUUCCCUUAAAUAAUUCUGUUUGAAUGGUAAAUGCACAUCAAGUUACAGUUAUGGUAAUGACUUACUCCAUUCUCAAUUUCUUUACUUCCCUCUGAUCACAUUCUGUUUAUUACGGUGUUAAUCCCAUUGCUAGAGAAUCUUCUACAACAAGAAGUAGUUUUUGAAAAGAAGGUUGGGGGAAUAUCCCAAACAAACUUUGUGAACCAAAUGCAGCUAUUCAGGACUUCAUCUCAAAACCAGAACUACUGCAUACAGUCACUUUUUGUGGGUUUUAUUUCUCAAACUGAAAAUAUUUUCAAAGUUUAGUUAACACAGUUGUAUUUAUAAAAAGUGCAAGUAAGCCAAAGCCCUCGCAGUACGCCACUUUUGUUACACUACUUGAUCAUUAUUUUUCUUCUCUCACAUAACAGACACUUCAGUUGAAGUAUCAUAUUCAGUUUAAUAUUAUCAUAUUUUAUUGUAUCAUAAAAUGGCAGUCAGGGAUUGCUUCAAAUAUCUUAAUGACUCCUUGCUGUGGGUAUGUAGUAGAAAUAAUGGGGCUUAGAGUGUAUCCCAAGAAUUAUCUCAGUACUCUUCGCAAAUUCAUUGUGUCAAUCCUAAAACAAAAUGAUGUGAUCAUAGUAGGCAAGAGCUAAAGGCUUUGACAUGGGGAAUGGUAACUUCAUUUUAACAUCACGACUGUCCGUGUAAAACUGUAAAUAAGGUAACUUUUGCCUAACAGCUGUUUUUAUUGAUAUCUCUGUUGCCAUGCUGUAUCCCUUAGUACCAUUAGAGAGGGUCCAUUCAAGAAGGUUCCUCACUAUUCCAGCAGCUCAUAGCUCUAGGAGACAAUGAACACUGCACAGGGAAGAUAGGGCCAAGCUAAAAGUUCUCCAAAGAGAGACAUAUUCCACUUCUGCAGCCAUCAGUUUUCCUUGCCCGAACUCUCAUUAGCAUGUUGCUCAUAUAUUCAGUACUGUACUGGAUAUAUAUUGUACACAAUAUAUAAAUUGUCAGGAACUCACAAUUUUUAUACCCACAUGUCUAUAUAGCAGUUGUGAAAUAAUGAUAUUCACCAGCAGUUUCAAGAAAAUGGGUCACAGACACCAAAAUGAGCCUAUUACCAUCUAACCUGCCAGGCAUGAAUGCCUCACAUGCAGAAAUCUGAGCACUGGUCAUGGCCAGUGUAGUGGUUUGCCACCCCAACACUUGCCAUUGCCAUGACUGUUAUGCCAAAAAUAGAAGCUUUCCUGAAAUUAGCAGAAGGGGAAAGAGGCCAUGUAGUGGGAACUGAGUACCAGAUUUGGAACUGGAAAGAAGUGUGGCAUGAAGGCAUGUAAAAGUAUGAAUGUUACAGACAAAAGGAAGGAGUCCAUGUAUCUCUAAUUGAGGAAUGUCAUAUAUAUUGCCAAUUAAAAGAGCAUAAAUUUCUGAUAACCCCUUUUUAAACGUUUGGCAUCAUGCUGCCCUAAGUAUGUGCACAUUAUUACUUUUCUGCUGUCUGACACUGAAAUAGAUCUCAGGAUACCAUCACAAAAUGCCACAACUUAUGCACAUGCUUUUUUAUUCAAACAAGAAACACUGAAUGUGAACAUACACAGUUGGUUAGGACAGUUAGAGAUUCUCUUAUUCUAUAUUGUAAAUUCUGCCAGCAAAGUGAUUUCAUUUGCAAUUACAGAAAAAGAUGCAGACAAGCUGCACAACAUUUCUGGAAUUUUUAAAUUAAAAGCAAGAAUUCCAGGAAUGGUCCAAAUAAUCAGAGAACUGGAACAACAGGGUUCCAACAGGAGGAGUGGAAAAAAAGAGAGAGGAAAUUCUGAGUGAUCAAUCUCUUAUUUGCAUUACGUGUUUUAAUGUUUGUAGAAAGAUUGUUGCCUCAAAACCAAAAGAGAAAUUAUUAGAGGUCAAAUGUUCCAAC